RNAcentral lists this ribosomal RNA (460 nucleotides) under uncultured bacterium. RNAcentral describes it as "partial 16S ribosomal RNA". It matches the Rfam family "Bacterial small subunit ribosomal RNA", at positions 338 to 795 of the family's 1533-position model. The record is from RNAcentral.
CCUACGGGAGGCAGCAGUGAGGAAUAUUGGUCAAUGGCCGUAAGGCUGAACCAGCCAAGUCGCGUGAAGGAUGAAGGACCUAUGGUUUGUAAACUUCUUUUAUAGGGGAAUAAAGGUAUCCACGUGUGGAUUUUUGCAUGUACCCUAUGAAUAAGCAUCGGCUAACUCCGUGCCAGCAGCCGCGGUAAUACGGAGGAUGCGAGCGUUAGCCGGAUUUAUUGGGUUUAAAGGGUGCGUAGGUUGUUGUUUAAGUCAGCGGUGAAAGUUUGUGGCUCAACCAUAAAAUGGCCGUUGAAACUGGAAGACUUGAGUGUGUUUGAGGUAGGCGGAAUGCGUGGUGUAGCGGUGAAAUGCAUAGAUAUCACGCAGAACUCCGAUUGCGAAGGCAGCUUACUACGCCAUAACUGACACUGAAGCACGAAAGCGUGGGGAUCAAACAGGAUUAGAUACCCUUGUAGUC